AGACGCGUUUCUAAUCCCGAGAAACUUCCAAAGAACUUUCGAUAGAACUAAUGAAAGGAUAAGGUGUUUGUUCUGUAAUCUGUUUUAAGACCACCUCAACUCUCAUACACACCUUGGAUCGGCAAACAUCCCACCUUGAGGAUGUAAGAAGAUAUUUUAGAGGUGUCUUCUCUUUAUCACCACCCGAUGGUGCAUCUCGAAGGAUGCUGCUUACCUGUUCUCUUUAUCACCACCCAACGGACAGAUUUGAAUCGAUGGCAGACGGGCCCUCUAAACCCACUCCAACUUCUGUCUUUCUCUCAGCCCACUUGGGAUCUGCAGUGUAAUACACCGCAGACUAAAUCCGGUGAUACUCCUGCAGUAUUUGAAGCAUGGGUGGCUGCAUAAUGAGCAGAAGAAAAGAUCAUGAGCAAUGUUCAGCUUGGGAUAGAAUCGGGUGAUGUUUCAAAGCCGAAAAGAAGAAAAAAAGUUGGAUCCCUGUCAGACUUGAUCUACAGUUCAGAAAGCCCUCCAUACAGCCCCUGGAGCACAGUUUCCGUUCCCAGACAAGGGGGACUUUGACUCGCCUCACCCCAGCCACGGCAAGGGUACGUGGGCUAGGUGGCCCUCUAUGCAGCCCCUCGUUCCAAGUUAUGGAUCCAAAAUUCCAAGAAAAACACAAUCAUCUGAAUCGCAACAGCACGUAAAAAUGACAUCCCCUCCCGGGCCGAGGGGAGAGUGGAGGUUUGGCCCGGGCCCCCAUUUCAGAGUUUUCAGUUAUUUCGACCCCAGAUUCCUCCAGGGUCUCCGCCCUGCCGAGCUAGGCCGAAGAGGGUUUAGAUCUAGCAGCAUUUUAAAAAAAAUAUAUAUAUAUAUAUACAUUUUUUCAUAAUAUGUUAUAUGGUAACCUAUAGUUAACCAGUUAAUAGUUAUUUUACUGUCGCUAUCUUUUUCUGUAAAAAUCACAACCUUUUUUUUUAUUGAUUUAUUUUUUCCAAAAAAG
This is a long non-coding RNA of Cyprinus carpio carpio, 982 nucleotides long. The record is from Ensembl. Lineage: Eukaryota; Metazoa; Chordata; Actinopteri; Cypriniformes; Cyprinidae.